UAGUCCACGCCGUAAACGAUGUCUAUUAGGAGUCUGUGCCCUUGAGGCGUGGGUUCCAAAGCUAACGCAUUAAAUAGACCGCCUGGGGAGUACGGCCGCAAGGUUAAAACUCAAAUGAAUUGACGGGGCCCGCACAAGCGGUGGAGCAUGUGGUUUAAUUCGAUGCAACGCGAAGAACCUUACCAUCUCUUGACAUCCACGGAAUUUCGGGGAGACCUGAAAGUGCCUUCGGGAACCGUGAGACAGGUGCUGCAUGGCUGUCGUCAGCUCGUGUUGUGAAAUGUUGGGUUAAGUCCCGCAACGAGCGCAACCCUUGUCCUUAGUUGCCAGCACGUAAUGGUGGGAACUCUAGGGAGACUGCCGGUGAUAAACCGGAGGAAGGUGGGGACGACGUCAAGUCAUCAUGGCCCUUACGAGAUGGGGCUACACACGUGCUACAAUGGUCGGUACAAAGGGGUUGCCAGCUAGCGAUAGUGAGCUAAUCCCAUAAAGCCGGUCGUAGUCCGGAUUGGAGUCUGCAAC
This 522-nucleotide ribosomal RNA is filed under the name uncultured bacterium. RNAcentral's name for it is "bacterial SSU rRNA". It matches the Rfam family "Bacterial small subunit ribosomal RNA", at positions 791 to 1311 of the family's 1533-position model. The record is from RNAcentral.